ACAACAGUCCGAAAGGACUGCUAAUACCGCAUACGUCAUCAAUCUCCUCGGAGGAUGAUGAGAAAGCUGGGGAUCUUCGGACCUGGCGCUGAAUGAGGGGCCCGCGUCUGCAUCAGCUUGUUGGUGGGGUAAUGGCCUACCAAGGCAAAGACGCAUAGCUGGUCUGAGAGGAUGAUCAGCCACACUGGGACUGAGACACGGCCCAG
Molecule: ribosomal RNA, 206 nt
Filed under: uncultured bacterium
Lineage: Bacteria
Description: partial 16S ribosomal RNA
Rfam family: Bacterial small subunit ribosomal RNA
Source: RNAcentral